GUUUUUUUCCUGUUUGCUUUGGUUACUGUUGUUGUUUUUGGUGUUGUUUCUAGAAUUCUCGUUUUCCUUUAGUUUCUCCUUCAAAUUUUCCGUUUUCUCUAUCAAUUUAGCUUUUUCUUCAUUUUUUUGGCUUGUUUCUAGAAUUCUCUUUUUCCUUCAAAUUUUCCGUUUUCUCUAACAAUUUAGCUUUUCCUUCACUUUUUUUGGCUUUUCUUCAUGUUUUCCACCAUUUAGAAUUCACUUUUUUCUCUCUUUUUCAACUCUUCACAUUUUUCGACCUUGUUCCCUUCCUUGUUUCAGUUUGGCUUCACUGUUUCAAUUUUCCGAUACAGCUUCGAAGCUUCGUCUCGACUCGUGAAGCAGUGAACCAGUUUGUCGAGUUGUUGUUCCUCUUGUUCAUGUUGUUGUUGUUGCUGAUUUGGUAUGGUUGUAAAUUCCUUAUUAAUAAUCUUCUUAACACGUGGAUAACUCAACGCCUACUCUAUUACAAUCUAUAGAUGUGAUUCUGCUAAAUUUAGGUUUUGGUGCGAGAGAAAACACACUCACGGAUUGGAUGAACGGAACGGGGGAGGAAAGGAAGGAAGGAAGGAAGGAAAAGAAAGAGAAGGAAGAGAAGAGAGAAGGGAAAAAACGAAAGACAGGAAAAAGCAAACACGACGGAAUAACGAGAGAUAAUAUACGAAAAAACGGAAGAGGGGGAAAAGCUGAAAAGACGAAAGAAAUGAAAUAAAAACGACGCACAAAAAUGAAAGAAAUAAAACGAGUGGAUUGCUUCUCUGGUGUUUGGUUCUGUUUGGUGAGGCCUCGGUCCGUGUGCGUGUGUGUGUGUGUGUGUGUGUGUGUGUGUGUGUGUGUGUGUGUGUGUACGAGGCUCUUUGGGGUUGAAACACGUUGAGGUCUCAUCCUGUACUUUCUCUUUGGGUCACGGGGCGAAAAACGGGGCGGGGCGGGGCGCUGAAUCCCCCCCUUGGGUACACACACACACACACACACACACACACACACACACACACACACACACACACACACGGAAUAGACGGUGAAAAUACAAGUUCUUAUGCACAAAGGGAAAACAUAAGGAAACAAACACAGGAAAAACAGAAAAACAGGAAAAAAAUAGGAAGUACAAAGGAAAGACAGAAAAAGAAGGAAAGAAAAAACAUAAAAAAACAGAAUUAACAGAAAAAAACAAGGAAAAAUACAGGGAAUAAAGAGGAAAAAACAUAAAUAAAUGGAAUUAACAGAAAAAAACAAGGAAAAA
Long non-coding RNA from Eriocheir sinensis (Chinese mitten crab), 1261 nucleotides. RefSeq lists it as uncharacterized. NCBI's taxonomy places the organism in Eukaryota, Metazoa, Arthropoda, Malacostraca, Decapoda, Varunidae. The transcript has 2 exons. The record is from RefSeq and is a predicted model, not a curated record.